Molecule: ribosomal RNA, 503 nt
Filed under: uncultured bacterium
Lineage: Bacteria
Description: partial 16S ribosomal RNA
Rfam family: Bacterial small subunit ribosomal RNA
Source: RNAcentral
AUCGAACGCUGGCGGCAGGCUUAACACAUGCAAGUCGAGCGGGGUGAUGGUGCUUGCACUAUCACUUAGCGGCGGACGGGUGAGUAAUGCUUAGGAAUCUGCCUAUUAGUGGGGGACAACAUCUCGAAAGGGAUGCUAAUACCGCAUACGUCCUACGGGAGAAAGCAGGGGAUCACUUGUGACCUUGCGCUAAUAGAUGAGCCUAAGUCGGAUUAGCUAGUUGGUGGGGUAAAGGCCUACCAAGGCGACGAGCUGUAGCGGGUCUGAGAGGAUGAUGUGCCACACUGGGACCGAGACACGGCCCAGACUCCUACGGGGGGCAGCAGUGGGGAGUAUUGGACAAUGGGGGGAACCCUGAUCCAGCCAUGCCGCAUGUGUGAAGAAGGCCUUAUGGUUGUAAAGCACUUUAAGCGAGGAGGAGGCUCUUUUGGUUAAUACCCAAGAUGAGUGGACGUUACUCGCAGAAUAAGCACCGGCUAACUCUGUGCCAGCAGCCGCCGUAA